Molecule: unclassified non-coding RNA, 245 nt
Filed under: Glomus sp.
Lineage: Eukaryota; Fungi; Glomeromycota; Glomeromycetes; Glomerales; Glomeraceae
Description: partial contains 5.8S ribosomal RNA and internal transcribed spacer 2
Rfam family: 5.8S ribosomal RNA (bases 1-72)
Source: RNAcentral
GUGAAUCAUCGAAUCUUUGAACGCAAAUUGCACUCUCCGGUUUUCCGGGAGAGUAGGCCUGUUUGAGGGCAAGACUAAAAAAAAUCGCUUUUGUUGCUGUUGUAUGGUGACUUUCGUCGGAGAUGGGUUAUCUUAACUCUAGGUUUAAGCGACUUAAUACUUUUUUUUACGAUUCUAAGACUGUUUCUAAGAUUUUUCUUGUCAGUAUUAGGUAUCGAAUGUCUUAUUAGUCGUGGCCGUCAUAU